CCCUUAGAUGUCCUGGGCUGCACGCGCGCUACACUGAUGUGUCCAGUAAGCACCUAACCUCUUCCGAAAGGAACGGGUAACCUUUGCAAAGCACAUCGUGAUGGGGAUAGAUUAUUGCAAUUAUUAGUCUUGAACGAGGAAUUCCUAGUAAGCACAAGUCAUCAGCUUGUGUUGAUUACGUCCCUGCCCUUUGUACACACCGCCCGUCGCUCCUACCGAUUGAAUGGUUUAGUGAGAAUUUUGGACUGGAACUCCCUUGCUCAGCAAUGGGCGAGGGGGAGUCCGGGAAGCUAUUCUAACUGUAUCAUUUAGAGGAAGUAAAAGUCGUAACA
RNAcentral lists this ribosomal RNA (332 nucleotides) under uncultured eukaryote. Its description in RNAcentral is "partial 18S ribosomal RNA". It matches the Rfam family "Eukaryotic small subunit ribosomal RNA", at positions 1470 to 1796 of the family's 1831-position model. The record is from RNAcentral.